CGUGGCACGUUUAUCUUGCAUGAUGCCAUUACGAGAACUAUUUGCUUCAUGUUGUUACUGGAAAUUCUGGUGUCCCAAUAAUGGUGCAAUUAGAAGAAAAGUGUAGACCGAUCGUCAGUAGAAUACGAGAUUGGCAGUGCUCUAUUACUGACAAUUAGCCAGCUUAUUAGAGGCGAGGUGGCUGUUUGGUAUGCUACUAUGUAUUUCAUCUCACAAGUUGGUUUGUUUAAGUGUUGUCAAACUAAUGAAGUUUUUUACCUCCAUUUUUAAUCGGUCAUUUUUCUUGCUGCCACAAAAUUUUGGUAUUUUAUUUGGUAAAAUGUUACUACAUAUCAAUAUUGGAGGAAUUAUUCAAAAUUAAUUAAAAGUGACAUUCUUCUCUAAGUUUCUCUCGCUCAAAAUUGGCAACUUUGGAGUUCAAUAAAACAAACUCAUAAAUGCAAGGUCAACCGGUUAACCUUUUUCCAAAUAAUUACGACCUCCUCCGUAAAUUUAUAAGCUAAUUGUUAAUCUUGUAGGUACUGCUGUACGUUUUUAUUAAUUAACAUGUAUCUGGUGUAUAAAAUAGUGAGACCUUUUCUUUUUGGGAGAGCAUGAGCAACUUCGGAGUCAUUCUUCAACAAAUAUUCCAUAUAAAACAAUUAAAAAUUUCUAACACUAGCAAUUAAAAUUGAUUUUUUAUAAUAUGAAAUCUGAAAUAAAAAAAUUCAGGUAUAGCGAAGUUAAUGAAAUAAGUUAUCAUUCGUUACAACACCAGUUUUUGUGAAAAAACGGACCGCUGCAAUAAAACAUUUUUUUUCACGCAAA
Molecule: long non-coding RNA, 807 nt
Organism: Dendroctonus ponderosae (mountain pine beetle)
Lineage: Eukaryota; Metazoa; Arthropoda; Insecta; Coleoptera; Curculionidae
Exons: 2
Source: RefSeq, a predicted model, not a curated record